Molecule: ribosomal RNA, 255 nt
Filed under: uncultured bacterium
Lineage: Bacteria
Description: partial 16S ribosomal RNA
Rfam family: Bacterial small subunit ribosomal RNA
Source: RNAcentral
GACAUAGGUGACGAACGUUAUCCGGAAUUAUUGGGCGUAAAGGAUGCGUAGAUGGUUCGAUAAGUCAUUGGUGGGAAAUCGAGGCCCAACCUCGUGGAAGCUGGUAAUACUGUCGAGCUUGAGUGCAGGAGAGGUUAACGGAACUUUAUGUGGAGCGGUAAAAUGCGUAGAUAUAUGAAAGAACACCGAUAUAGCGAAGGCAGUUAACUAUUCUGCUACUGACAUUGAGGCAUGAAAGCGUGGGGAGCAAAACGG